RNAcentral lists this transfer RNA (71 nucleotides) under Acentrogobius multifasciatus. Its description in RNAcentral is "tRNA-Val". It matches the Rfam family "tRNA". From Rfam's summary of the family: Transfer RNA (tRNA) molecules are approximately 80 nucleotides in length. Lineage: Eukaryota; Metazoa; Chordata; Actinopteri; Gobiiformes; Gobiidae. The record is from RNAcentral.
CAGAGCGUAGCUGAAUAGCAUAGCAUCUCCCUUACACCGAGAAGAUACCCGUGCAACCCGGGUCGCACUGA